AAAGGACUGCUUUGUUGGUGACGGCCUUUUCUAGUGCUCUGAUCUGACUCUCUUCUCGACUUGGGGAGGCUGUCGUGACGGUGACGUAAACCGGUCUUGCUGCCGGAAACGAAUCCCCACUUUGCUUCCUCUUCUGGUUCUACCAGGUCGAACACUUGGGCUCGCACGGCAUGGCGGUUCAUCU
This 184-nucleotide non-coding RNA is filed under the name Prochlorococcus sp. RNAcentral's name for it is "6S RNA". It matches the Rfam family "6S / SsrS RNA". From Rfam's summary of the family: E. coli 6S RNA was the first non coding RNA to be sequenced, but its function was unknown until recently. It consists of 184 nucleotides that fold into an extended hairpin structure with a large single-stranded internal bulge. The record is from RNAcentral. RNAcentral also lists the same sequence under 4 other names. Lineage: Bacteria; Bacillati; Cyanobacteriota; Cyanophyceae; Synechococcales; Prochlorococcaceae.